CUGGCUCAGGAUAAACGCUGGCGGCGUGCUUAACACAUGCAAGUCGAACGGAGUAAUUCUCCCGAAGAUUGAGGAAGCUUGCUUCUGAAAGAUUCAUUUGAAUUACUUAGUGGCGGACGGGUGAGUAACGCGUGGGAAACCUGCCCUAUACUGGGGGAUAGCAGUUGGAAACGACUGAUAAUACCGCAUAAGCGCACAGCUUCGCAUGAAGCAGUGUGAAAAACUCCGGUGGUAUAGGAUGGUCCCGCGUCUGAUUAGCUAGUUGGUGAGGUAACGGCCCACCAAGGCAACGAUCAGUAGCCGGCCUGAGAGGGUGUACGGCCACAUUGGGACUGAGACACGGCCCAAACUCCUACGGGAGGCAGCAGUGGGGAAUAUUGGACAAUGGGGGAAACCCUGAUCCAAGCGACGCCGCGUGAACGAAGAAGUAUUUCGGUAUGUAAAGUUCUAUCAGCAGGGAAGAUAAUGACGGUACCUGACUAAGAAGCACCGGCUAAAUACGUGCCAGCAGCUGC
Molecule: ribosomal RNA, 515 nt
Filed under: uncultured bacterium
Lineage: Bacteria
Description: bacterial SSU rRNA
Rfam family: Bacterial small subunit ribosomal RNA
Source: RNAcentral